This 22-nucleotide small nuclear RNA is filed under the name Arabidopsis thaliana (thale cress). Its description in RNAcentral is "snRNA_13105". Lineage: Eukaryota; Viridiplantae; Streptophyta; Magnoliopsida; Brassicales; Brassicaceae. The record is from RNAcentral.
AAACUAAACUCUAUGUGGAAUA